This 625-nucleotide unclassified non-coding RNA is filed under the name Hevea brasiliensis (rubber tree). The record is from RNAcentral. Lineage: Eukaryota; Viridiplantae; Streptophyta; Magnoliopsida; Malpighiales; Euphorbiaceae.
GGAAACUUAACAUGGGAAAGGGUCUCCGUCUAGUGUAGGGAGACGAGAAGAGAAGGGCAGCUUCCAUCUUUGUUUGGUUCUUUCUUUGGCUUGAAUAAAAAUCCGUCCCCUUUUCUUUUCAUUUCGCGAUUCUUAGCAUAAUACUAAUCUGCCGAUUCACAAUCAGCCAAAGCGACUUUUCUCUCUUCUUCUUUUCAAAUUCGUAUCCAAUUCACGCGUUAUUCUCUUCCCAUUUCGGCCCUUCUUUCUCCAUCCCUGAUCCGUAGGCUUUUUACUUGAUCUCCCUUCUCUAUACCCUUUUGAUCGCUUCUGUUUCUUGGGUAUUUUUUUUUUUUGCUGGGUUUCAAAUUUUAGAAUCAAAGAGGGAAAUUAUUUGCAACUUUUGGACUGAUUGGAUGAAUGUUUUCUGAGAAAUGGUGAUGUUGACAUCAACAGUUGUGCUGUGAAGCACUAUGGAACUGGUGGUUACCCAACAACAACAAGCACUACAAUAUGACGAUUUACAUUGGUCGAGAGGCUUCGAAGCUUUGGAAGAGAAUUUGUGCAGAGACUACCACAGAGAUCAACCUACUUUUCGAAAAUUGGAAAUUCAUUCUUGCUUGUCUAAUUUUUCAGUAUAUACAUG